RNAcentral lists this ribosomal RNA (393 nucleotides) under uncultured bacterium. RNAcentral describes it as "bacterial SSU rRNA". It matches the Rfam family "Bacterial small subunit ribosomal RNA", at positions 355 to 773 of the family's 1533-position model. The record is from RNAcentral.
UGGGGAAUCUUGCGCAAUGGGCGAAAGCCUGACGCAGCAACGCCGCGUGGGGGACGAAGGCUCUCGGGUUGUAAACCCCUUUCAGCAGGGACGCGGUACCUGCAGAAGAAGCCCCGGCCAACUACGUGCCAGCAGCCGCGGUAACACGUAGGGGGCAAGCGUUGUCCGGAAUUAUUGGGCGUAAAGAGCUCGUAGGCGGCUCGGUAAGUCAGGUGUGAAAUUCCAGGGCUCAACCUGGAACGCCACCUGAUACUGCCGGGCUAGAGUCCGGUAGGGGAGCGUGGAAUUCCUAGUGUAGCGGUGAAAUGCGCAGAUAUUAGGAGGAACACCAGCGGCGAAGGCGGCGCUCUGGGCCGGAACUGACGCUGAGGAGCGAAAGCGUGGGGAGCAAAC